GAUUGAACUGUGAGGUCAUCAGCACAGCAAGCUACAUCUCUGGACUUCUGUGAGGUCAUCUUUACUACAGAGCAUAUACUGAAGACAGAAUGGCAGGAGACGUAGACCCAAGACAGGUGGACCUUCUCCAUGAUUGAACUGUGAGGUCAUCAGCACAGCAAGCUACAUCUCUGGACUUCUGUGAGGUCAUCUUUACUACAGAGCAUAUACUGAAGACAGAAUGGCAGGAGACGUAGACCCAAGACAGGUGGACCUUCUCCAUGAUUGAACUGUGAGGUCAUCAGCACAGCAAGCUACAUCUCUGGACUUCUGUGAGGUCAUCUUUACUACAGAGCAUAUACUGAAGACAGAAUGGCAGGAGACGUAGACCCAAGACAGGUGGACCUUCUCCAUGAUUGAACUGUGAGGUCAUCAGCACAGCAAGCUACAUCUCUGGACUUCUGUGAGGUCAUCUUUACUACAGAGCAUAUACUGAAGACAGAAUGGCAGGAGACGUAGACCCAAGACAGGUGGACCUUCUCCAUGAUUGAACUGUGAGGUCAUCAGCACAGCAAGCUACAUCUCUGGACUUCUGUGAGGUCAUCUUUACUACAGAGCAUAUACUGAAGACAGAAUGGCAGGAGACGUAGACCCAAGACAGGUGGACCUUCUCCAUGAUUGAACUGUGAGGUCAUCAGCACAGCAAGCUACAUCUCUGGACUUCUGUGAGGUCAUCUUUACUACAGAGCAUAUACUGAAGACAGAAUGGCAGGAGACGUAGACCCAAGACAGGUGGACCUUCUCCAUGAUUGAACUGUGAGGUCAUCAGCACAGCAAGCUACAUCUCUGGACUUCUGUGAGGUCAUCUUUACUACAGAGCAUAUACUGAAGACAGAAUGGCAGGAGACGUAGACCCAAGACAGGUAAUUAAUAUUAUUAUUAAUUACUGAUAACUUCCAGGCUAGACUUUAGUUCUAGACCUGUAGAGGCGUGGUAAUAUAUUCCUGCUAUACAUGUAUAUUUAUCAGAUAUGUGUGUUUGCCGUAGACUCUAUUCUUUGUAAAAAUGAAGGGAUAAUAAAUAGGCCCCUUAGAGAGAAAUCACCCUGCCAACAGGGACAAGUGCAAAGAGAUAGUUAUGCAACAGAGUGUGUGUAUGUGUAUAUGUGUGUGUGUAUGAGCUGUUACAUGUUAUGAAAUUUAGACUGUAAGCUCUAAUAGGGCAGGGACUCUUGUGAGUAAUAUAUGAUAUACUCUACUCAGCGAUGCAUACAUUUUUGUUGAUAGGGUCAUCUGUGAUAUAGAGUGAUCGAUAGAUAGUUAUUUCCCCAGUAUGUAGAUUAUUUAGAUUUA
Long non-coding RNA from Pseudophryne corroboree (corroboree frog), 1331 nucleotides. RefSeq lists it as uncharacterized. The transcript has 7 exons. NCBI's taxonomy places the organism in Eukaryota, Metazoa, Chordata, Amphibia, Anura, Myobatrachidae. The record is from RefSeq and is a predicted model, not a curated record.